AGAGUUUGAUCAUGGCUCAGAGUUAACGCUGGCGGCGUGCCUAACACAUGCAAGUCGAGCGAAUUUUUACAGAGUAUCGUAAAAGUUAGCGGCAAACGGGUGAGUAACACAUGGGAAACCUCCCUCAGAAUGGGGAACAUCUCCGAGAAAUCGGAGCUAAUACCGCAUAAGACCACAGUUCGGCAUCGAACAGGGGUAAAAGCAGCAAUGCGUUUUGAGAUGGUCCUGUGUCCUAUCAGCUAGUUGGUGGGGUAACGGCCUACCAAGGCUAUGACGGGUAUCCGGCCUGAAAGGGUGAACGGACACACUGGAACUGAGACACGGUCCAGACUCCUACGGGAGGCAGCAGUGGGGAAUUUUGGACAAUGGGCGCAAGCCUGAUCCAGCGACGCCGCGUGGAGGACGAAGGCCUUCGGGUUGUAAACUCCUUUUGGAGGGGAAGAAUAAAUUGACGGUACCCUCAGAAAAAGCCACGGCUAACUACGUGCCAGCAGCCGCGGUAAUACGUAGGUGGCGAGCGUUACUCGGAAUUACUAGGCGUAAAGCGUAUGUAGGUGGUUAGAUAAGUCUAUGGUGAAAUUUCCUGGCUUAACUGGGAAGGGACAUAGAUACUAUUUGGCUUGAGUGUGGGAGGGGGAGACGGAAUUCCUGGUGUAGCGGUGAAAUGCGUAGAUAUCAGGAGGAACACCGAUGGCGAAAGCAGUCUCCUGGCCCAAUACUGACACUGAGGUACGAAAGCUAGGGUAGCAAACAGGAUUAGAUACCCUGGUAGUCCUAGCUGUAAACGAUGUUCACUAGAUGUGGGAGGUAUCGACCCCUUCCGCGUCGACGCUAACGCAUUAAGUGAACCGCCUGGGGAGUACGGCCGCAAGGUUGAAACUCAAAUGAAUUGACGG
RNAcentral lists this ribosomal RNA (896 nucleotides) under uncultured bacterium. RNAcentral describes it as "bacterial SSU rRNA". It matches the Rfam family "Bacterial small subunit ribosomal RNA", at positions 8 to 916 of the family's 1533-position model. The record is from RNAcentral.